GAUGAACGCUGGCGGCGUGCUUAACACAUGCAAGUCGAACGGUGAAGGCGGAGCUUGCUCUGCUGGAUCAGUGGCGAACGGGUGAGUAACACGUGAGCAAUCUGCCCCUGACUCUGGGAUAAGCGCUGGAAACGGCGUCUAAUACUGGAUACGAGCUGCGAAGGCAUCUUCAGCAGCUGGAAAGAAUUUCGGUCAGGGAUGAGCUCGCGGCCUAUCAGCUUGUUGGUGAGAUAAUGGCUCACCAAGGCGUCGACGGGUAGCCGGCCUGAGAGGGUGACCGGCCACACUGGGACUGAGACACGGCCCAGACUCCUACGGGAGGCAGCAGUGGGGAAUAUUGCACAAUGGGCGAAAGCCUGAUGCAGCAACGCCGCGUGAGGGACGACGGCCUUCGGGUUGUAAACCUCUUUUAGCAGGGAAGAAGCGAAAGUGACGGUACCUGCAGAAAAAGCGCCGGCUAACUACGUG
RNAcentral lists this ribosomal RNA (468 nucleotides) under uncultured bacterium. RNAcentral describes it as "partial 16S ribosomal RNA". It matches the Rfam family "Bacterial small subunit ribosomal RNA", at positions 28 to 507 of the family's 1533-position model. The record is from RNAcentral.